Molecule: ribosomal RNA, 787 nt
Filed under: Bacillus amyloliquefaciens
Lineage: Bacteria; Bacillati; Bacillota; Bacilli; Caryophanales; Bacillaceae
Description: partial 16S ribosomal RNA
Rfam family: Bacterial small subunit ribosomal RNA
Source: RNAcentral
GAGUCCAAUGUGUAGCGUGACAUGCGUAGAGAUGUGGAGGAACACCAGUGGCGAAGGCGACUGUCUGGUCUGUAGUCGACGCUGAGGAUCGAGCGCGUGAGGAUCGAGCGCGAUCAGAUUUCGAGGUAGUGCUAGCCCUAAACGUUGAGGAUUUAGUGUUAGGGGGUUUCCGCCCUUUAGUGGGGCAGGUAACGCAUUAAGCAAUUAGCCUGCGGAGUGCGGUCGCAAGCAUGAAACUCAAUGGAAUUAAUGGGGGCCCGCCCAAGCGGUGGAGCAUGUGGUUUAAUUAGAAGCAACGAGAAGAACCUUCCCAGGUCUUCACAUCCUUUGACAAUCUCAGAGAUAGGACGUCCCCUUCGGGGACAGAAACACAGGUGCAGCAUGGUCGUGGUCAUCUUCAGUCGUGAGAUGGUGGGUUAAGUCCCACUCCGAGCGCAACCCCUGAUCUUAGCUGCCAGCAUUCAGCUGGGCCAUUUAAGGGGGCUGCCGGUGGCCAACCGGAGGAAGGGGGGGAAGGAGUCAAAUUCUCCUGCCCCUUAUGGCGUAGGGUACCCCCGUUCUACAAAGGACAGAACAAAGGGCAGGGCAACCCGGGGGGUGAACCAAUUCCCCAAAUGUGUUUUCAAUUCGGAUCGCAGUUUGCAAAUUGGAUGACAGAAACUGGAAUUGGUUGUAAUUGGGGAUCAACCAGGCGCGGUGAAUAAGUUUCCGGGCUUUGUACCCCCCCCCCGUCCCCCCCAGAGAGUUUGUAACACCCGAAGUUGGGGAGGUAACCUCUAGGAGCCAG